RNAcentral lists this transfer RNA (71 nucleotides) under Fidelibacterota bacterium. RNAcentral describes it as "tRNA-Gly". It matches the Rfam family "tRNA". Rfam says of the family: Transfer RNA (tRNA) molecules are approximately 80 nucleotides in length. Their secondary structure includes four short double-helical elements and three loops (D, anti-codon, and T loops). Lineage: Bacteria; Pseudomonadati; Fidelibacterota. The record is from RNAcentral.
GCGGGUGUAGUUCAAUGGUAGAACUCCAGCUUCCCAAGCUGGCCACGGGAGUUCGAUUCUCCUCACCCGCU